GACGAACGCUGGCGGCGUGCCUAAUACAUGCAAGUCGAACGCAGUGGGGACGGGUGAGUAACACGUGGGUAACCUGCCAUAAGAGGGGAUAACACUUGGAAACAGGUGCUAAACCGAUACUGAUGGAUGGACCCGCGGGGCAUUAGUUAGUUGGGGGGGUAACGUCCGACCAAGGCCACGAUGCAUAGCGGGUCUGAGAGGAUGAUCGGCCACACUGGGACUGAGACACGGCCCAGACUCCUACGGGAGGCAGCAGUGGGGAAUUUUGGACAAUGGACGAAAGUCUGACCCAGCAACGCCGCGUGAGUGAAGAAGGUUUUCGGAUCGUAAAACUCUGUUGUUAGGGAAGCGGUAUCUAACCAGAAAGCCACGGCUAACUACGUGCCAGCAGCCGCGGUAAUUC
This 403-nucleotide ribosomal RNA is filed under the name uncultured bacterium. RNAcentral's name for it is "partial 16S ribosomal RNA". It matches the Rfam family "Bacterial small subunit ribosomal RNA", at positions 28 to 526 of the family's 1533-position model. The record is from RNAcentral.